RNAcentral lists this ribosomal RNA (894 nucleotides) under fungal sp. R8M8_7x. Its description in RNAcentral is "eukaryotic LSU rRNA". It matches the Rfam family "Eukaryotic large subunit ribosomal RNA", at positions 48 to 960 of the family's 3401-position model. RNAcentral also lists the same sequence under 1 other name. Lineage: Eukaryota; Fungi. The record is from RNAcentral.
AAGCGGAGGAAAAGAAACCAACAGGGAUUGCCUCAGUAACGGCGAGUGAAGCGGCAAAAGCUCAAAUUUAAAAUCUGGCACUCUCAGUGUCCGAGUUGUACUUUGGAGAGGCAUCUUCUGGAGGGACCCAGCCUAUGUGCCUUGGAACAGGACGUCAUAGAGGGUGAGAAUCCCGUCCUUGGCUGGAUGUUCCCUCCUGUAUGUAGUGUCUUCUACGAGUCGAGUUGUUUGGGAAUGCAGCUCAAAAUGGGUGGUAAAUUUCAUCUAAAGCUAAAUAUUGGCGAGAGACCGAUAGCGCACAAGUAGAGUGAUCGAAAGAUGAAAAGCACUUUGAAAAUAGAGUCAAACAGUACGUGAAAUUGUUGAAAGGGAAGCGCUUGAGACCAGAGUCAACCUUUGCAAACAAUUGUCCUUCUGGGCUGUGCACUUGUCAUUGGCUGGGCCAGCAUCGGUUGGGACGGCAGGAUAAAGGCCUUGGGAAUGUGACUCCCUUGUGGAGUGUUAUAGCCCUUGGUGCCAUGCUGUCAGCCCCGACCGUGGACCGCGCUUAGGCUCGGAUGCUGGCUUAAUGGUCUUCAGCGACCCGUCUUGAAACACGGACCAAGGAGUCUAACGUCUAUGCGAGUGUUUGGGCUUCAAACCCUUACGCGUAAUGAAAGUAAACGGAGGUGGGAAUCCUGCAAGGGAUGCACCAUCGACCGAUCCUGAUGUCUUCGGAUGGAUUUGAGUAGGAGCAUAGCUGUUGGGACCCGAAAGAUGGUGAACUAUGCCUGAAUAGGGUGAAGCCAGAGGAAACUCUGGUGGAGGCUCGCAGCGGUUCUGACGUGCAAAUCGAUCGUCAAAUUUGGGUAUAGGGGCGAAAGACUAAUCGAACCAUCUAGUAGCUGGUUCCUG